UCGCGGGUGCAGAGGAGCGCGUGCGAUAAUCUGCGUGCAUUCGUCGAUAACUGUCUAUGCGAAGCACCGACGCAGCCAUGAGUACCUGCGGGGCUUCACUCUGUGCCACAACGAGCGAACCGCUGUACAGGAGCUCGACUAGCUGUCGCACCGUCUGCACAGGCACCACCGAAGGCACACGGAUCUCAGAGGGGCCGAGCAGCAGCUUGUCUUGGAAGGAGGGCGAGCCGAUUGCCAGCCCGCAGCGGUGCGCACGCAGCGAAGCUUCAUGAAUGCACACAGUCACGUCGCAGAAGUGCCCACCCAGCUUCUGCCCAUUGAGGGUCUCAAGCAGAGAGCGUGAGAAGUUCUGCAGAUGUAUGUGGCGCACAGCCUCUACAGCCGCCGACUCCGACUCCUCUUCAGGCACCAGGCCUGGCCGUGGCCGCCUUCUCACCGACUCCAAGGCAGCACUUCCGGGCGCUUCUCUUUAUUUUUAUACAGUUUUAUUGAGAUAUAAUUUACAUGCUAUCCAGCCCAUCUAUUUCAAGUGUACCAUGCAAGGGGUUUGUAUAUAUUCACAGAGUUGUGUAUCCAUCACCAUCGUUUUAGAACAUUCAUCACUCCAGAAGAAACUACUACCCAUCAGCAGCCACUGCCCAUUUCCCUGAUCUGCCCCGCCCUAGGAAAUCCGUAAUCACUUUCAGUCUAUGGAUUUGCCUAUUCUAGACCAUUCAUAUAAAUGAAGUCACACAACACUGGGUCUUAUGUGACUGGCUUCUAUCAAAGUUUGCAAGGUUCAUUUAUGUUCAUGGUCAUCACUGAUCAGAGGCCUAACCCAAGGAGGGGGUCAUGUGCAGACCCAGCUGUGGGGAGGAAAGAUGCUGCAGAGGAGACGGAUGCCCACAGAGGCCCCUGAGUGGAUACAAUGCUCACUAAGUGGGCUGACCCCACAUUGGACACCGCUGCAUCCAUGUCCAUCACACAACACAGCUGCCGUUUCUUCUGCCUGCUUAUGGGAAAGUCCCCUCUUCUCCUCCGUUUUCUUCUCUUCCUGCCCUAUCACACCGUGCACUUCUCCCUUUCCUUAAAGAACCACCAUCAACUUUAGGAGGAGGGAAAGGGGUGGCUCUGGCAGGAAAAGCCAGAAUCCCCUCUAGCCAGCAGAGAGAGAGAGGAAUGGCUGCAUGUUUUCUCCCCCAGUCCAAGGCACUGGGUCUUGGCUGGGUUGAAGGUUCCAAGCUGCUCUCCUGCUGUGUCGGUGAGUUCUGGUCAACCUGCAACCUCCUGAUAUGGCCAUUGCAGUUCAUCGAGUCUUCAGGGACUCCCCAUGGCCUGGAGUACUUUGCCUUGCUUACACGGGAGAGGAGAAUGGAUUUAUAGAGAACAUCAUCUAAAUCCAACUUGACCAUUGUGUGGCCACACUUGCUAGAUUGCUAUAGUCUAAAUCUAGCAUUGUAGAAAGACGGGGGAGCUUGGAGCUGCACAAACCCAGGUCUGGAACUGGCUCCUUACCUUGGAAGGUGAAUGAUCCUGCCAGGACUCUUAGCCUCCCUGGGUCUCAAUUUCUUUAUCUGUUUCAUGGGAAUGAGGAUCUCUGCUGGGUGGUUGGGUGAUGUGGGGGCUGUGUGAAAACAGCUUGUCAAUACAAGCCAAAAUAGAAAUAUUUCUCCACAGAGUAUGAAGGUCAAAUGAGAGAAUACAUUUAAAUUAAAUGGAAAAUUAAAAUGGUAAAAAAUGCAAAGCUGUAUUGAAAGUUCCGAGCUUCUCUAUAAGGAGCUUUUUGACUAUGUAAGAAUCCUGUACUCGUUCCCCCUAAAUAUAAAAAAAAGUUGAAGGAGGCAGAAGGGAGAGUGAUGCACGAUGGGCAAGGACUUCACCUGCUGUUGCUGGCUUUGAGGAUGGAGGAAGGAGGCCACAAACCUAGAAGCUGGAGCCCCUAGAAGCUAGAAAAGGCAGGGACCCGAUUCUUUCCUUGAGCCUCCAGAAGGGACACAGCCCCGCCAGCACCUUGACUUUAGCCUGGUGAGAUCCUCUUAGGACUUUUGGCAAUCAGAACUAUAAGACAGAAAUGGAAGCCACUGAGUCUGUAGCUGUUUGUUGCAGCAGCAAUAGAAAACUAAUGCAGGGCCCAAGAAAUCACUGGUGAUGAGAUCGGGAAAGUGGGCUCAGGAGGUCUGGAUCUGUGAUGAGAUGGGGAAAGUGGGCUCAAGAGGUCUGGAUCUGUGGUGAGAUGGGGGAAGUGGGCUCAGGAGGUCUGGAUC
This 2243-nucleotide long non-coding RNA is filed under the name Homo sapiens (human). RNAcentral describes it as "long intergenic non-protein coding RNA 1106". Lineage: Eukaryota; Metazoa; Chordata; Mammalia; Primates; Hominidae. The record is from RNAcentral.